GACACACAGUUAACCAUGAAGGACUUUAGGACAGGACUGCUGCUUUUAACUGUCUUCUGCUCAGGUGUUGAUGGUCAGACUCUGACACAAUCCGAAGCAGUGAUUAAAAGGCCUGAAGAAUCACACAAGUUGACUUGUACAACAUCUGGAUUCACAUUCAGCAACUACGGGAUGAACUGGAUCAGACAGGCUCCUGGAAAAGGACUGGAGUGGAUCGCUGCCAUCACCACAUCUAGUUCUAGUAUCUAUUACUCUCCAUCAGUUAAGGGUAGAUUCACCAUCUCCAGAGAUGACCCCAGCAGUAAACUGUAUCUACAGAUGAACAGUCUGAAGACUGAGGACACGGCUGUGUAUUACUGUGCUAGAGACACAGUGAGAGACAAUGAUGAGAGAGCUGUUCAAAAACUACUUCCUCUAUUCACCUCGUCCACUGAGAACAUUCAGACGUCUCUGUGUCACUGGUCCUGAACCACAGAUA
Non-coding RNA from Pungitius pungitius (ninespine stickleback), 478 nucleotides. Lineage: Eukaryota; Metazoa; Chordata; Actinopteri; Perciformes; Gasterosteidae. The record is from the annotation of a RefSeq genome assembly.